This 1656-nucleotide ribosomal RNA is filed under the name Salmonella enterica subsp. enterica serovar Chester. RNAcentral's name for it is "partial 23S ribosomal RNA". It matches the Rfam family "Bacterial large subunit ribosomal RNA", at positions 578 to 2215 of the family's 2925-position model. Lineage: Bacteria; Pseudomonadati; Pseudomonadota; Gammaproteobacteria; Enterobacterales; Enterobacteriaceae. The record is from RNAcentral.
AGCACAGGUUUACCUGUGUGACUGCGUACCUUUUGUAUAAUGGGUCAGCGACUUAUAUUCUGUAGCAAGGUUAACCGAAUAGGGGAGCCGGAGGGAAACCGAGUCUUAACCGGGCGUUAAGUUGCAGGGUAUAGACCCGAAACCCGGUGAUCUAGCCAUGGGCAGGUUGAAGGUUGGGUAACACUAACUGGAGGACCGAACCGACUAAUGUUGAAAAAUUAGCGGAUGACCUGUGGCUGGGGGUGAAAGGCCAAUCAAACCGGGAGAUAGCUGGUUCUCCCCGAAAGCUAUUUAGGUAGCGCCUCGUGAAUUCAUCUCCGGGGGUAGAGCACUGUUUCGGCUAGGGGGCCAUCCCGGCUUACCAACCCGAUGCAAACUGCGAAUACCGGAGAAUGUUAUCACGGGAGACACACGGCGGGUGCUAACGUCCGUCGUGAAGAGGGAAACAACCCAGACCGCCAGCUAAGGUCCCAAAGUCAUGGUUAAGUGGGAAACGAUGUGGGAAGGCCCAGACAGCCAGGAUGUUGGCUUAGAAGCAGCCAUCAUUUAAAGAAAGCGUAAUAGCUCACUGGUCGAGUCGGCCUGCGCGGAAGAUGUAACGGGGCUAAACCAUGCACCGAAGCUGCGGCAGCGACGCUGAUGCGUUGUUGGGUAGGGGAGCGUUCUGUAAGCCUGCGAAGGUGGCCUGUGAGGGUUGCUGGAGGUAUCAGAAGUGCGAAUGCUGACAUAAGUAACGAUAAAGCGGGUGAAAAGCCCGCUCGCCGGAAGACCAAGGGUUCCUGUCCAACGUUAAUCGGGGCAGGGUGAGUCGACCCCUAAGGCGAGGCCGAAAGGCGUAGUCGAUGGGAAACGGGUUAAUAUUCCCGUACUUGGUGUUACUGCGAAGGGGGGACGGAGAAGGCUAUGUUGGCCGGGCGACGGUUGUCCCGGUUUAAGCGUGUAGGUGUGUGUUCCAGGUAAAUCCGGUUCACUUUAACACUGAGGCGUGAUGACGAGGCACUACGGUGCUGAAGCAACAAAUGCCCUGCUUCCAGGAAAAGCCUCUAAGCAUCAGGUAACAUCAAAUCGUACCCCAAACCGACACAGGUGGUCAGGUAGAGAAUACCAAGGCGCUUGAGAGAACUCGGGUGAAGGAACUAGGCAAAAUGGUGCCGUAACUUCGGGAGAAGGCACGCUGACACGUAGGUGAAGUGAUUUACUCAUGGAGCUGAAGUCAGUCGAAGAUACCAGCUGGCUGCAACUGUUUAUUAAAAACACAGCACUGUGCAAACACGAAAGUGGACGUAUACGGUGUGACGCCUGCCCGGUGCCGGAAGGUUAAUUGAUGGGGUCAGCGCAAGCGAAGCUCCUGAUCGAAGCCCCGGUAAACGGCGGCCGUAACUAUAACGGUCCUAAGGUAGCGAAAUUCCUUGUCGGGUAAGUUCCGACCUGCACGAAUGGCGUAAUGAUGGCCAGGCUGUCUCCACCCGAGACUCAGUGAAAUUGAACUCGCUGUGAAGAUGCAGUGUACCCGCGGCAAGACGGAAAGACCCCGUGAACCUUUACUAUAGCUUGACACUGAACAUUGAGCCUUGAUGUGUAGGAUAGGUGGGAGGCUUUGAAGUGUGGACGCCAGUCUGCAUGGAGCCGACCUUGAAAUACCACCCUUUAAUGUUU